CGAAAUAUGGUUGUACUUAUUCU
RNAcentral lists this small nuclear RNA (23 nucleotides) under Arabidopsis thaliana (thale cress). RNAcentral describes it as "snRNA_05454". Lineage: Eukaryota; Viridiplantae; Streptophyta; Magnoliopsida; Brassicales; Brassicaceae. The record is from RNAcentral.